RNAcentral lists this ribosomal RNA (253 nucleotides) under uncultured bacterium. RNAcentral's name for it is "partial 16S ribosomal RNA". It matches the Rfam family "Bacterial small subunit ribosomal RNA", at positions 524 to 776 of the family's 1533-position model. The record is from RNAcentral.
CACGUACUGUGCGAACGUUAUUCGGAAUCACUGGGCUUAAAGGGUGCGUAGGCGGCAAUUCAAGUCAGGUGUGAAAUGCCUGAGCUCAACUGAGGCAUUGCGCUUGAAACUGAACUGCUAGAGUAUCCCAGGGGUGUGCGGAACUGCCAGUGGAGCGGUGAAAUGUGUUGAUAUUGGCAGGAACACCGGAGGCGAAAGCGGCACACUGGGGGAUAACUGACGCUGAGGCACGAAAGCCAGGGGAGCGAACGGG